RNAcentral lists this ribosomal RNA (387 nucleotides) under uncultured bacterium. RNAcentral's name for it is "bacterial SSU rRNA". It matches the Rfam family "Bacterial small subunit ribosomal RNA", at positions 28 to 414 of the family's 1533-position model. The record is from RNAcentral.
GAUGAACGCUAGCGGCAGGCCUAAUACAUGCAAGACGAACGGUAAGUUGAGUAGCAAUACUUAGCCAAGAGUGUCGUACGGGUGCGUAACACGUAUGCAACCUACCCUAUACAGGAGGAUAGCCUAGGGAAACCUGGAUUAACCCUUCAUAGUAUUAUUGGAUGGCAUCAUUUGAUAAUUAAAACUGAGGUGGUAUAGGAUGGGCAUGCGUCUGAUUAGUUAGUUGGCGGGGUAAUGGCCCACCAAGACGAUGAUCAGUAGGGGUUCUGAGAGGAGAUCCCCACACUGGCACUGAGAUACGGGCCAGACUCCUACGGGAGGCAGCAGUAGGGAAUAUUGGUCAAUGGAUGCAAGUCUGAACCAGCCAUGCCGCGUGCAGGAAGAAGG